This 429-nucleotide ribosomal RNA is filed under the name Pseudomonadota bacterium. RNAcentral describes it as "Proteobacteria bacterium partial 16S ribosomal RNA". It matches the Rfam family "Bacterial small subunit ribosomal RNA", at positions 355 to 776 of the family's 1533-position model. Lineage: Bacteria; Pseudomonadati; Pseudomonadota. The record is from RNAcentral.
UGGGGAAUAUUGGACAAUGGGCGAAAGCCUGAUCCAGCCAUGCCGCGUGUGUGAAGAAGGUCUUCGGAUUGUAAAGCACUUUAAGUUGGGAGGAAGGGCAGUAAGCGAAUACCUUGCUGUUCUGACGUUACCGACAGAAUAAGCACCGGCUAACUCUGUGCCAGCAGCCGCGGUAAUACAGAGGGUGCAAGCGUUAAUCGGAAUUACUGGGCGUAAAGCGCGCGUAGGUGGUUCGUUAAGUUGAGUGUGAAAGCCCCGGGCUCAACCUGGGAACUGCAUCCAAAACUGGCGAGCUAGAGUAGGGCAGAGUGUGGUGGAAUUUCCUGUGUAGCGGUGAAAUGCGUAGAGAUCUGGAGGAAUACCGAUGGCGAAGGCAGCCAUCUGGCCUAACACUGACGCUGAGGUACGAAAGCAUGGGGAGCAAACAGG